GGGCCCGCACAAGCGGUGGAGUAUGUGGUUUAAUUCGAAGAUACGCGCAGAACCUUACCUACUCUUGACAUCCAGAGAAGCCAGCGGAGACGCAGGUGUGCCUUCGGGAACUCUGAGACAGGUGCUGCAUGGCUGUCGUCAGCUCGUGUUGUGAAAUGUUGGUUAAGUCCCGCAACGAGCGCAACCCUUAUCCUUGUUUGCCAGCACGUAAUGGUGGGAACUCCAGGGAGACUGCCGGUGAUAAACCGGAGGAAGGUGGGGACGACGUCAAGUCAUCAUGGCCCUUACGAGUAGGGCUACACACGUGCUACAAUGGCGCAUACAGAGGGCAGCCAACUUGCGAGAGUGAG
This 350-nucleotide ribosomal RNA is filed under the name uncultured bacterium. Its description in RNAcentral is "bacterial SSU rRNA". It matches the Rfam family "Bacterial small subunit ribosomal RNA", at positions 917 to 1267 of the family's 1533-position model. The record is from RNAcentral.